CCCGUGAAGGUAGUGGUGUCCCAAUUCCUCUUUUCACCUAGGGGGAGGGGGCAUAACGAGGGCUAGGGGCUGAGAAUAGCCCCUUCAAAUCGAGGGAUUUCAGAUGCUGACUUGGCGAGCGAGGGGGUAUGAAAAUUUCCCAGAAUGCUUUUCGUCGUCAUUUGCGGACUGAAUCAAAAAAAAAAACAUGGAGGACAUUUCUUGUUUUUUUGGGAAUAAAAUCAAUAUUUUGAGUUAGUUUCUGCAUAAAAAUGCAUUUUGAUUACAUUUCUCGGCGCAAACCGAUAUUUUACUUUCAUAAUAUUCACUCAGUGAAUGUACAUCAUCCCUUUUUUGUCCGUUGUUCGCUAAGAUCGCGCCGGAAUAUGGUUACGUAACCUACGUAAGCUACGCCGUAGGCUGCGUCUAGCUCGCCGACCGAGGAAAACAUGCUUUGCAGACUCGUCUCGAUUUUGAGCAAGCAAGCAUUUUUUCAUUUUUUUUGAGUCAAAUGGCGAACCGCAAAGAGCAGGAGGAUAUUGAACCCACAAAUGGACUCCGGAUCAGGUCCGACACCUAAUAAGCUUUAGGACUACCAACGAGGAGAAUUUUACAAAGAAGAAAUAUGCUGCUAAACCACUGUGGGAGAAACUCAUCAAAGAGCUGGAACUGGAGGGGAAGGUGACCACAGCACAAAUUGGCAAAAAAUGG
Molecule: long non-coding RNA, 690 nt
Organism: Cololabis saira (Pacific saury)
Lineage: Eukaryota; Metazoa; Chordata; Actinopteri; Beloniformes; Belonidae
Exons: 3
Source: RefSeq, a predicted model, not a curated record